Molecule: non-coding RNA, 384 nt
Organism: Gasterosteus aculeatus aculeatus (three-spined stickleback)
Lineage: Eukaryota; Metazoa; Chordata; Actinopteri; Perciformes; Gasterosteidae
Source: RefSeq, a predicted model, not a curated record
CGUUACUAACCAGACAUGUGAUCCACACUCCGCACCGGCUGGUGGCGGUAACGCGCCGAUUAUUGAUCAUCUACCGCCGACCAAGUUAAAACAAGACGAAGAAGAAGAAGAAGAAGAGGAGGAGGAGGAGGAGGAGGAGGAGGAAGAAGACGACGACGACGACGACAACAACAACAACAACAACAUGCGGGAGAGUCGCAGAAAGUCUCCAGUUCAACUUUAACAUCUUAAAGAAACAUCCUGUUGGUGUCAAAUCAAAUGGAAGUUGCUUCCCUGGGUCGACCUUUCACCCUCUGAAUGCUCUAUGAUGCUCAAAGAGAUGCACUGAUCACAGCAGGUGGGUGUGAAGGUGUGAAGGUGUGGACUCUGCUAUGAAUCAGGCUG